This 429-nucleotide ribosomal RNA is filed under the name Fusobacteriota bacterium. RNAcentral's name for it is "Fusobacteria bacterium partial 16S ribosomal RNA". It matches the Rfam family "Bacterial small subunit ribosomal RNA", at positions 355 to 776 of the family's 1533-position model. Lineage: Bacteria; Fusobacteriati; Fusobacteriota. The record is from RNAcentral.
UGGGGAAUAUUGCGCAAUGGGCGAAAGCCUGACGCAGCGACGCCGCGUGUGGGAUGAAGGUUUUCGGAUCGUAAACCUCUGUCAGAAGGGAAGAAACCGCACUGUGCUAAUCAGCAGUGCCUGGACGGUACCUUCAAAGGAAGCACCGGCUAACUCCGUGCCAGCAGCCGCGGUAAUACGGAAGGUGCAAGCGUUAAUCGGAAUUACUGGGCGUAAAGCGCACGUAGGCUGGUUUGUAAGUCAGGGGUGAAAUCCCAAGGAUCAACCGUGGAACUGCCUUUGAUACUGCUUAGCUUGAAGCCGGGAGAGGGUGGCGGAAUUCCAGGUGUAGGAGUGAAAUCCGUAGAUAUCUGGAGGAACAUCAGUGGCGAAGGCGGCGACCUGGACCGGUAUUGACGCUGAGGUGCGAAAGCGUGGAGAGCAAACAGG